This 119-nucleotide ribosomal RNA is filed under the name Microcebus murinus (gray mouse lemur). The record is from RNAcentral. Lineage: Eukaryota; Metazoa; Chordata; Mammalia; Primates; Cheirogaleidae.
GUCUACAGCCACAUCACCCUGAACACUCCGAUCUCAUCUGAUCUCAGAAGCUAAGCAGGGUCAGACCUAGUUAGUACUUGGAUGGGAGAUUGAAGACUAGGAGGGCAGGUGCGGUGACU